CCUACGGGAGGCAGCAGUGGGGAAUAUUGCACAAUGGGGGAAACCCUGAUGCAGCGACGCCGCGUGAGUGAAGAAGUAAUUCGUUAUGUACAGCUCUAUCAGCAGGGAAGAAAAUGACGGUACCUGAGUAAGAAGCCCCGGCUAACUACGUGCCAGCAGCCGCGGUAAUACGUAGGGGGCAAGCGUUAUCCGGAUUUACUGGGUGUAAAGGGAGCGUAGACGGCAGUGCAAGUCUGGAGUGAAAGGCGGGGGCUCAACCCCCGGACUGCUCUGGAAACUGUACGGCUGGAGGGCAGGAGAGGUAAGUGGAAUUCCUAGUGUAGCGGUGAAAGGCGUAGAUAUUAGGAGGAACACCAGUGGCGAAGGCGGCUUACUGGACUGUAACUGACGUUGAGGCUCGAAAGCGUGGGGAGCAAACAGGAUUAGAUACCCGUGUAGUC
This 440-nucleotide ribosomal RNA is filed under the name uncultured bacterium. RNAcentral describes it as "partial 16S ribosomal RNA". It matches the Rfam family "Bacterial small subunit ribosomal RNA", at positions 338 to 795 of the family's 1533-position model. The record is from RNAcentral.